This 474-nucleotide ribosomal RNA is filed under the name uncultured bacterium. RNAcentral's name for it is "partial 16S ribosomal RNA". It matches the Rfam family "Bacterial small subunit ribosomal RNA", at positions 28 to 523 of the family's 1533-position model. The record is from RNAcentral.
GAUCAACGCUGGCGGCGUGCCUAAUGCAUGCAAGUCGAACGGGGCGCCUUCGGGCGCUCACGUGGCGGACGGGUGCGUAACACGUGGGCAAUCUGCCCCGAGGCGGGGGAUAGCCAUCGGAAACGGUGGGUAAUUCCGCGUACGCUCGCCUGGCAGUGGGCCGGGCGAGGAAAGGCGCAAGCCACCCUGGGAGGAGCCUGCGGCCGAUUAGCUGGUUGGUGGGGUAACGGCCUACCAAGGCGAUGAUCGGUAGCUGGUCUGAGAGGACGGCCAGCCACACGGGGACUGAGAGACGGCCCCGACUCCUACGGGAGGCAGCAGCAAGGAAUCUUCCGCAAUGGGCGAAAGCCUGACGGAGCAACGCCGCGUGGGGGAGGACGCUUUUCGGAGUGUAAACCCCUUUUCUCGGGGACGAAGCACUGACGGUACCCGAGGAAGAAGGACCGGCUAACUACGUGCCAGCAGCCGCCGUAA